RNAcentral lists this transfer RNA (66 nucleotides) under Zootoca vivipara (common lizard). Its description in RNAcentral is "tRNA-Thr". It matches the Rfam family "tRNA". Rfam says of the family: Transfer RNA (tRNA) molecules are approximately 80 nucleotides in length. Their secondary structure includes four short double-helical elements and three loops (D, anti-codon, and T loops). Further hydrogen bonds mediate the characteristic L-shaped molecular structure. tRNAs have two regions of fundamental functional importance: the anti-codon, which is responsible for specific mRNA codon recognition, and the 3' end, to which the tRNAs corresponding amino acid is attached (by aminoacyl-tRNA synthetases). tRNAs cope with the degeneracy of the genetic code in two manners: having more than one tRNA (with a specific anti-codon) for a particular amino acid; and 'wobble' base-pairing, i.e. permitting non-standard base-pairing at the 3rd anti-codon position. Lineage: Eukaryota; Metazoa; Chordata; Lepidosauria; Squamata; Lacertidae. The record is from RNAcentral.
GUCCUAGUAGCUUAAACUCCAAAGCACUGGUCUUGUAAACCAGAAAUGAGACCACCUCCUAGGACA